GCUUUUAAAGGAUARYAGUUAUCCAUUKGUCUUAGGAAACAAAAAAUUGGUGCAACUCCAAAUAAAA
Molecule: transfer RNA, 67 nt
Filed under: Tursiops aduncus (Indo-pacific bottlenose dolphin)
Lineage: Eukaryota; Metazoa; Chordata; Mammalia; Artiodactyla; Delphinidae
Description: tRNA-Leu
Source: RNAcentral